GGCUACACACGUGCUACAAUGGGUAGUACAGAGAGUCGCAAAGCCGCGAGGUGGAGCUAAUCUCAGAAAACUAUUCUUAGUUCGGAUUGUACUCUGCAACUCGAGUACAUGAAGUUGGAAUCGCUAGUAAUCGCGAAUCAGCAAUGUCGCGGUGAAUACGUUCUCGGGUCUUGUACACACCGCCCGUCACACCACGAGAGUUGGUUGCACCUGAAGUAGCAGGCCUAACCGCAAGGAGGGAUGCUCCGAGGGUGUGAUUAGCGAUUGGGGUGAAGUCGUAACAAGGUAUCCGUACGGGAACGU
This 303-nucleotide ribosomal RNA is filed under the name uncultured Fusobacterium sp. Its description in RNAcentral is "bacterial SSU rRNA". It matches the Rfam family "Bacterial small subunit ribosomal RNA", at positions 1212 to 1513 of the family's 1533-position model. Lineage: Bacteria; Fusobacteriati; Fusobacteriota; Fusobacteriia; Fusobacteriales; Fusobacteriaceae. The record is from RNAcentral.